This 267-nucleotide long non-coding RNA is filed under the name Fukomys damarensis (Damara mole-rat). RNAcentral's name for it is "lncRNA (ENSFDAG00000030344.1)". Lineage: Eukaryota; Metazoa; Chordata; Mammalia; Rodentia; Bathyergidae. The record is from RNAcentral.
AUGGUAUUCAUUAUUCGAAGCAAACACCAUGCUCAUUUAAUUUUUGCAUCCAUAGAUGAAAUGGAAGUGGAACAAUUACAUACAUUUCCUCAGUGUUGGAGCCUGAGUUCUGAGAACAACAUUUUUCAUUUUCAAAGGAAGCUGACUUCGAGAAAGAACAGAAGACCAACAGCAAUGCUGGCCUUCUCUGUUUUGCAAAGCGUCACUUAUAAGGAAAGAGCUUGUGGAAUUUGGCUGCAUUUCCCACAGCUGCAAGAUAAGUUCUGA